CUCUUGUUUGGAAUGUUUGUCAGUUUGAAAAUGGUAGUGUAAUGUGCAAAGAACUGAUAUAAAGAAAAGUUUUAGAGCUCUAUAACGGCUGGACUUUGUCUGAUUUUGGAUCGCAAACCAACAAGGUUCAGGGAUUUUAUGG
Long non-coding RNA from Xiphophorus hellerii (green swordtail), 142 nucleotides. RefSeq lists it as uncharacterized. The record is from RefSeq and is a predicted model, not a curated record. The transcript is spliced from 3 exons. Lineage: Eukaryota; Metazoa; Chordata; Actinopteri; Cyprinodontiformes; Poeciliidae.